GGCGAACGCUGGCGGCGUGCUUCAUACAUGCAAGUCGAACGAGAAGCUGACUUCGGUCAGUGGAAAGUGGCGGACGGGUGAGUAAUAUGUAGGAAAUCUGCCUUUAGGAGGGGGACAACAGAGGGAAACUUCUGCUAAUACCCCAUAUGAGCGUAGCUGAAAUGCUAUUCUUGAAAACUCCGGUGCCUAAAGAUGAGCCUGCAUCUGAUUAGCUAGUUGGUAGUGUAAUGGACUACCAAGGCGACGAUCAGUAGCUGGUUUGAGAGGAUGAUCAGCCACAAUGGGACUGAGACACGGCCCAUACUCCUACGGGAGGCAGCAGUAGGGAAUUGUGCGCAAUGGGCGAAAGCCUGACGCAGCAACGCCGCGUGAACGAUUAAGCCCUUCGGGGUGUAAAGUUCUGUCAGUGGGGACGAAACUUGACGGUACCCACAGAGGAAGCACCGGCUAACUCCGUG
RNAcentral lists this ribosomal RNA (458 nucleotides) under uncultured bacterium. Its description in RNAcentral is "partial 16S ribosomal RNA". It matches the Rfam family "Bacterial small subunit ribosomal RNA", at positions 28 to 507 of the family's 1533-position model. The record is from RNAcentral.